AGUACCUUUAACUCAGUCCAGAGAGGCUGGCAAGGUAGCGUGAACAGCAGCCGCUGUCAGGAAGAAGAUCACAUCGGCAUCCGGCGCGAGCGGCCGGGACGAAGCGAGGUGCGCGGCCCUGCAUGGCCAUGCCCCUGGCUUGUCCUGCCGCGCGGCCGAUCAUGCCCUCUUCUCCCUGCGCGGCUUCUAAAACUCUCUCCUUGCUGAUGUACCCGGCAAGGAGAGUUUUUUUU
This 233-nucleotide small RNA is filed under the name Paenibacillus sp. P22. Its description in RNAcentral is "PyrR binding site". It matches the Rfam family "PyrR binding site". From Rfam's summary of the family: This family represents the PyrR binding site and terminator structure. This RNA structure is found upstream of a variety of genes involved in pyrimidine biosynthesis and transport. The alignment also includes a portion of the antiterminator structure. The record is from RNAcentral. Lineage: Bacteria; Bacillati; Bacillota; Bacilli; Caryophanales; Paenibacillaceae.